UACGGAGGGUGCUAGCGUUGUUCGGAAUCACUGGGCGUAAAGAGCGUGUAGGCGGCCCGAUAAGUCCGCUGUGAAAGUCCAGGGCUCAACCCUGGGAUGCCGGUGGAUACUGUCGGGCUCGAGUCCGGAAGAGGAGUGUGGAAUUCCUGGUGUAGCGGUGAAAUGCGCAGAUAUCAGGAGGAACACCAAUGGCGAAGGCAGCACUCUGGGACGGUACUGACGCUGAGACGCGAAAGCGUGGGGAGCGAACAGG
This 253-nucleotide ribosomal RNA is filed under the name uncultured bacterium. RNAcentral describes it as "partial 16S ribosomal RNA". It matches the Rfam family "Bacterial small subunit ribosomal RNA", at positions 524 to 776 of the family's 1533-position model. The record is from RNAcentral.